Molecule: transfer RNA, 74 nt
Filed under: Deltaproteobacteria bacterium CG07_land_8_20_14_0_80_38_7
Lineage: Bacteria; Deltaproteobacteria
Description: tRNA-Arg
Rfam family: tRNA
About the family: Transfer RNA (tRNA) molecules are approximately 80 nucleotides in length. Their secondary structure includes four short double-helical elements and three loops (D, anti-codon, and T loops).
Source: RNAcentral
GCGCCUAUAGCUCAGUGGAUUAGAGCAUCUGGCUUCGAACCAGAGGGUCGGGAGUUCGAAUCUCUCUAGGCGCG